GCCAAAGCAACUACAAUCCAGCAAUCAUCAAGAGCUCACUAUACUGUAGAGAAUUGUUUUAGCAAUUCCGGAUUUCUUGGUGUUCCAUAUGAAGAAAACUUUGAUUCAGAAUUAGAAUGUCUGCCAGGCCGAAAAGCGAGAAGCUCUGUCAUCAGGGAGGCUUGAGGCAAUGGAAUGCCGCCACCCUGGGAUAGCAAGCAAGAUCAUCACAUCGCC
Molecule: long non-coding RNA, 216 nt
Organism: Meriones unguiculatus (Mongolian gerbil)
Lineage: Eukaryota; Metazoa; Chordata; Mammalia; Rodentia; Muridae
Exons: 3
Source: RefSeq, a predicted model, not a curated record